UACGUAGGGGGCAAGCGUUAUCCGGAUUUACUGGGUGUAAAGGGAGCGUAGACGGCGAUGCAAGCCAGAUGUGAAAGCCCGGGGCUCAACCCCGGGACUGCAUUUGGAACUGUAUAGCUAGAGUGUCGGAGAGGCAGGCGGAAUUCCUAGUGUAGCGGUGAAAUGCGUAGAUAUUAGGAGGAACACCAGCGGCGAAGGCGGCCUGCUGGACGAUGACUGACGUUGAGGCUCGAAAGCGUGGGGAGCAAACAGG
This 253-nucleotide ribosomal RNA is filed under the name uncultured bacterium. RNAcentral's name for it is "partial 16S ribosomal RNA". It matches the Rfam family "Bacterial small subunit ribosomal RNA", at positions 524 to 776 of the family's 1533-position model. The record is from RNAcentral.